AAUCCGAAAAGGUAAACCCAUCGCAAGGUGGGGGCGCAAAGUUCCAGUCCGGCACAUGCUUCAAAAGAAUGCUCUGAGUAAAGUCGAAUGAAAUUGAGCAGAGGAGUUCGAACUUACUGCAGAAAUACUUGAGAAAAUCAUGUGACGGAGGCUGAACUGCCGAU
RNAcentral lists this non-coding RNA (164 nucleotides) under Candidatus Firestoneibacteriota. RNAcentral's name for it is "Candidatus Firestonebacteria c-di-GMP sequence". It matches the Rfam family "c-di-GMP-I riboswitch aptamer". From Rfam's summary of the family: GEMM was predicted in a large-scale screen for bacterial structured RNA regulatory elements. Genes associated with GEMM are involved in a diverse array of functions, including chemotaxis regulation, signal transduction, secretion and chitin. The record is from RNAcentral.